CAGUCGCCGCGGUAAUACGAAGGGGGCUAGCGUUGCUCGGAAUGACUGGGCGUAAAGGGCGCGUAGGCGGAUCACGCAGUCAGAUGUGAAAUUCCUGGGCUUAACCUGGGGGCUGCAUUUGAGACGCGUGGUCUAGAGUGUGAAAGAGGGUCGUGGAAUUCCCAGUGUAGAGGUGAAAUUCGUAGAUAUUGGGAAGAACACCGGUGGCGAAGGCGGCGACCUGGUCUGUAACUGACGCUGAGGAGCGAAAGCGUGGGGAGCGAACAGGAUUAGAUACCCCUGUAGUCCCUGUCUCUUAUAC
This 301-nucleotide ribosomal RNA is filed under the name uncultured bacterium. Its description in RNAcentral is "partial 16S ribosomal RNA". It matches the Rfam family "Bacterial small subunit ribosomal RNA", at positions 509 to 807 of the family's 1533-position model. The record is from RNAcentral.